GAUGAACGCUGGCGGCGUGCUUAACACAUGCAAGUCGAACGGUGAACACGGAGCUUGCUCUGUGGGAUCAGUGGCGAACGGGUGAGUAACACGUGAGCAACCUGCCCCUGACUCUGGGAUAAGCGCUGGAAACGGCGUCUAAUACUGGAUAUGUGACGUGACCGCAUGGUCUGCGUUUGGAAAGAUUUUUCGGUUGGGGAUGGGCUCGCGGCCUAUCAGCUUGUUGGUGAGGUAAUGGCUCACCAAGGCGUCGACGGGUAGCCGGCCUGAGAGGGUGACCGGCCACACGGGGCCUGAGACAAGGCCCAGACUCCUCGGGGGGGCAGGGGGGGGGAAUAUUGCAAAGUGGGCGAAAGCCUGAUGCAGCAACGCCGGGGGGGGGAGGACGGCCUUCGGGUUGUAAACCUUUUUUGGCGGGGAAGAAGCGAAAGUGACGGUACCCCCAGAAAAAGCCCCGGCUAACUAGGU
RNAcentral lists this ribosomal RNA (468 nucleotides) under uncultured bacterium. Its description in RNAcentral is "partial 16S ribosomal RNA". It matches the Rfam family "Bacterial small subunit ribosomal RNA", at positions 28 to 506 of the family's 1533-position model. The record is from RNAcentral.